Molecule: ribosomal RNA, 498 nt
Filed under: uncultured bacterium
Lineage: Bacteria
Description: partial 16S ribosomal RNA
Rfam family: Bacterial small subunit ribosomal RNA
Source: RNAcentral
GAUGAACGCUAGCGGCAGGCCUAAUACAUGCAAGUCGGACGGGAUUUGGGAGCUUGCUCCUAAUGAGAGUGGCACACGGGUGCGUAACACGUAUGUAACCUACCUUAAUCGGGGGGAUAGCCUCUCGAAAGAGAGAUUAACACCGCAUAAUAUAUUUUUAUGGCAUCGUAGAAAUAUCAAAUAUUUAUAGGAUUAAGAUGGGCAUGCGGAACAUUAGCUAGUUGGUAAGGUAACGGCUUACCAAGGCUACGAUGUUUAGGGGAUCUGAGAGGAUGACCCCCCACACUGGUACUGAGACACGGACCAGACUCCUACGGGAGGCAGCAGUAAGGAAUAUUGGUCAAUGGGCGCAAGCCUGAACCAGCCAUGCCGCGUGCAGGAAGACGGCCCUAUGGGUUGUAAACUGCUUUUGUACCGGAAUAAACCCUUUUACGUGUAAGAGGCUGAAUGUACGGUAAGAAUAAGGAUCGGCUAACUCCGUGCCAGCAGCCGCGGUAA